GACACGACUCUCGGCAAUGGAUAUCUCGGCUCUUGCAUCGAUGAAGAGCGCAGCGAAAUGCGAUACGUGGUGCGAAUUGCAGAAUCCCGCGAACCAUCGAGUCUUUGAACGCAAGUUGCGCCCGAGGCCAGCUGGCUGAGGGCACGUCUGCCUGGGCGUCAAGC
This 164-nucleotide ribosomal RNA is filed under the name Oberonia falconeri. RNAcentral's name for it is "5.8S ribosomal RNA". It matches the Rfam family "5.8S ribosomal RNA". From Rfam's summary of the family: 5.8S ribosomal RNA (5.8S rRNA) is a component of the large subunit of the eukaryotic ribosome. Lineage: Eukaryota; Viridiplantae; Streptophyta; Magnoliopsida; Asparagales; Orchidaceae. The record is from RNAcentral.